GUACACAUAAGCGAUUACAUAUAAAUGGUGUGUUCUAAGUUAUAUGUUCUAAAUUAUAUAUCCUAAGUUAGUACAUAUAAGUUACUCGUAGAACAAAAUUCUUUGAAACGUAUCUAAGUGGGGUCUAGUUUUAUUCGUCGCAUCGUGUAGAACACGCUGGUGCAGACGAAAUUAAAAAUGGACAAACUGUUUUUAAGUUAUAGCAUUUUUAAUUUUUUUUUGUUUUUGUGGGUUAUGUCAGUGCUGACAUCAUAGCCAGAGAAAAAGAACGAAACGUGAGAGGCAAUAAGGAUGCACGGGAUAAGUGUUUCCUAAAAGGAAAAGAGGUGGAAUUUUUUUUCCUAAAAUGGAAAAUUUAGAUGGUUAGUUUGAGUGAUCGUUCGUCAAUUAGUGGCGUCGCCUAAGGAAGGCCUUGUUUAGUUCCGAAAAUUUUUUGGUUUUCGGAGCUGUAACACUUUCGUUUUUAUUUAACAAACAUUAUCUGAUCAUAGAGUAACUAGGCUUAAAAAAUUUAUCUCGUGAUUUACAGAUAAACUGUACAAUUAGUUUUUAUUUUCAUCUAUACUUGAUAUUCUAUGCAUGUGUCGCAAGAUUCGAUGUGACGGAAAAUGUUGAAAAGAUUUUACGGUGAACUAAACAAGGCGAAAGCCUCAGAUCGGGGGCGGACAAAUCACCCAACACUCCGUCGUAGUACGUACGUGUAGGUUUCCGAGUUCUGAUGCAUGAUUGGUCUGUCUCGCUCCGUGUGCCUGCCGUGCGCCCGUGGCAGCCGCGUUCCGCGCCACAUAUCACAGACGUACGCGUUCUAGCGAGCCAAAGCCCAGGGGGCCGGGGACUUGCACGGUGACCGAUCGAGCGUACGGGUGCGGUGCACCAGGCGUCCCCUUCAGCUUGAGGCCUUGGCCUUGUUUAGUUCCCAAAAAAUUUUGUAAAAUUUUUCAGAUUCCCGUCACAU
This 955-nucleotide long non-coding RNA is filed under the name Sorghum bicolor (sorghum). Its description in RNAcentral is "long non-coding RNA (SBIC_LNC016680)". The record is from RNAcentral. Lineage: Eukaryota; Viridiplantae; Streptophyta; Magnoliopsida; Poales; Poaceae.